This 22-nucleotide microRNA is filed under the name Gallus gallus (chicken). RNAcentral describes it as "gga-miR-1681". Lineage: Eukaryota; Metazoa; Chordata; Aves; Galliformes; Phasianidae. The record is from miRBase by way of RNAcentral.
UUCACAUGAUGUCUUGCUGAUG